AGGGACCAAUGCAAGUUUGGCCGAAAACGGCCAACCCGAGGCGGAUCGCCGCCGCAGGCGGUGGCGCCGUCGCUGGAGCACGGCGGAGCCGCCGUGCUGGAAUUCCGAUAUUGGCCGAAAGGGGCCCUAGGUCUGAUUUGGGAUUUUUUGGAACACGUGCAGGUACCGGUAGUGCGUUUUAGUUUUCUAGGAAAAAAUUCAGGGAAAUUAGGGACA
Molecule: long non-coding RNA, 216 nt
Filed under: Carica papaya (papaya)
Lineage: Eukaryota; Viridiplantae; Streptophyta; Magnoliopsida; Brassicales; Caricaceae
Description: long non-coding RNA (CPAP_LNC013993)
Source: RNAcentral